GGAGUUUGAGGUUGAUGUGAGCUAGGUUGAUGCCAAGGCACUCUAGCCUGGGCAACAGAGCGAGACUCUGACUCAAAGAAAAUACCACUUCCAAGAUUAGUUGGGCAGAGGGAUUCACCUGACCGAAUCAGUUAAAAAUAACAAAAACAUUAACAAUCAUCAGAAUUUCUAUCUAAGAAGUAGUUACCUAAGUGGGUUCAAUAUAAACGUACUGCUACUCAAGUGACCAUAUGUUGAUUGGCUUUUUAACAAGUUACACUAGUAUCCUGUGAACCCAGCCAUAACUGAAAAGCAGUAGUGAUAGAGAAAUGGAAAUAGCCAGAGGGAAUUCAGGUUCAAAUUAUUUGCAAUGAAGAACCAAACAAAUGCCAAUAGAAGGUGGAAAAUAGGGAAAGACAAACCUGAUGGCAUGGUUUCUUGAAUAGUUCCUACUGGCCAAGACGAUAAGCUUCAUUGGUUACAAGUUCCUAGAAAAUAGGCUUGAAUGACCUUAACAUGAGUUACUUCCAGAGAUACUUUACCCCAAAUAGACAGGGAUUGUUAACUAGUUUUGUGCCGUGAACCUUUUGAUAGCCCCAUGAAAAGCUUGUCAGAAGGCUUUAAUGUAAUGUGCACACACUAUAUCUACAGCCCCUAGUUAGGAACCCCUUGAAAAGUGUUGUUUCUGAGAGAAGUCUGAAAAGUAAUGAGGCUUUUAAUUAAUCGUGGUAUUUCAGUACCAUGCAGGUAAGGAAUGUGUUAUUCUAGUUUCCAGCUAGAAUCACCCUUUUUGCUCAAAUGAUGCUGGAGAAAUCAGCCCACUUAAUGUGUCUGAGAUGAAAACCCACAGUGAAGAAUUUUUCUUCAGUAAGAAACACUGACAAAGAACUUAAGCCCUCUUGCAAGGAGUCUGACCAAUCAGGAGAAAGAGGUUCCAAGUCCCAAUUUUGACCUUUUGUGGAAAUAGCCCUUUCACUGUAUGUGAUAUAUAUAAUUGGCACAUCAUCACUAUGAACACCCAGAAUUCCCAUGUGAGGCCCGCCAACCACUUUACACAUAAGAAACCUCUCGAUUGAGAAUUAGCUCGCUCGCACUCGGUGGUGUGGUAUUCUGCCCUCGCGAACACUGCCAAGCCGUCCAAAUGUUCGCUCCCCGCCCUCUGGAAGAGCUAGUUGUGGGGAGCUGCCCAGCUGGGGCCAACCCGGUUUGGCUGCUGGCCAGAGCGAGCUGGGGCCUAGCAUUAGAGUCAGGGCAGCUGGCUGGCGGCACAGUACAGGGCGUCGCCCAAGCCGCCUUCCGCGUCACAAGGGGCGCCGCCCUCCAUCCUGGGAGGGACCGGCUGGGAAAAGCCGAUGGGCCGUGGUCGGUGCCGGAAAGCGGGUCACAGAAGAGUGCGGUGUAAGCGGGAAAACAGAGAUGAAGAGGUAGACUAAUGGCUUGCCAAGUACAUCUUAAGCUGCUGCCUGACAGCAGGCCCUAAUGCUUCCCUGCUCUUGGGCCCCACUCCAUCCCCCAAAUUCUUUGUCAUUGCUUCAUGGACUGCUGGGUUUGGGACCAAGUGCAAAUCUGGGGUGCAGAGCAGAGGGAGUGUCUUUAUAAAAGAGAAUAGGAAAGAAAUGCUAGAUUUUUUUUUUAAGUUGCAUUAAUGACUAGUAGCUGUCAGUGCUUCUUGUGAUAAUUCAUAAAGUAAUAAGAAAUCAAAUAUAUAAAAAAGAUUAUUUCUCUGUCUCAAAAAAAAGAAAAAAAGAUUAUUUCUUACCAAAAAAAUGGACAGACUCCAGACUUGUGGUUCAUUCACAAUCCACUGAGUUUUGAGAUAUUCUGGAAUAAUUAUACCUUUUCCUUUCCAGGCUGAGUUGUGUAAACUUGGGUUUUAGUUGACCUCUACAAUCCCUGCAGGGCUCUAAAAAUCCUGUCCCUUCAGACACCAUGUUCAGCAACCUAUAACAGACUGACUGAUACCAUCAAUAACCACAAUUCACACUGUGCAGUGAAAUGAUCUGAUUCCCACACCAGUUGAAGAGCUGGAGGUUCCUUAUACUUUAGGACAUUUAACUCUCAUCUUUUUGAGGUUGAAAUGGAGAAUUUUAUAUGAAGUUUAAAAAAUACAACUGAUCUGUGGUGAUAGAGAUUAGAAGAGCACUAAGAUUUGAGGCAGCAUUCAUUGGGAGGGAACAUGGGGUAUAGUUACAUAUUUCUAUAUAAGUAAAGGUUCAUCUAGUAUAGGUUUAAGAUUUAUGUACUUUAUGUAAGUUAUACCACAAUAAAAAUGUUAAAAAAAAAUAAAAAGGAAGAAUAUUUAAUGACAUGGACAUAUGAUUAUAAACUUUAAUGAAAUAUCCUAUACAAGGUAAUUCCAUUUUUUAAAAAUUUAUAUUUUAUAUAUGUAUAAGGAUAUACAUCAAAUUGUUAAUAAUUUCCUCUCACUGUUGGGAUAAUGGAGAGCUUUUUUAAUUAGUUCUCUUUAUGUCUUAAAUGUUCUUCAGUAAUUAUGUAUUGCUUCUGUAAUUAUGGAAAAUAAAAGUUAUUUUGUAAAUCCUCUUUGUUACUGCUAAGAGAUGGGUGUUCUAUUAGCUGACUCCUCUGUUUUCAUGGAGAAAAACACAAUGUCAGUUGGUAAGAAGUAGAAACAUUUAGAAAUCUGAAAUUACCUCUAAAAUAAAUUGCCUCUGGAAUUCGAGAUUGAAGAUGGAGUCUUGUUCCUUUCAUUUUAAGCUCUUGGAUAUGGGGGUUAUUUCUUUUUAUCUUUUUUAAAUUAUAUGCAUAUUUUACUUUGCUAAGUAAAUUUUAAAAGAUGAAAUAAAAUGUAUCAGUACAAUUUUUUUUUCAUCCAGUUUAUCCUAUCCUUUCUUUUUACCACUGAGCAGGCAGAACAAGGAGAAAUUAAACACUUAACUGAAAGGCACUUUGAAUAGUAAUCAGUAUCAAGUAGAGACAAAUUAUAAAUUGCUCAAUAUAAAGCAUGAGGGUUUUUUUUUUUAAUUGAGGGGACAGAAAUACAGCUUCUCAAUUAUCAUAAACUGCAUCAUACUCUUGGGGAGAGCCUUUUUGGCUUGAAUCCAUUACUGAUUAUAUAUCUUGUACCACUGUGGGAACUGCAUGAUCAAAACAGUUGUCACAGUUUGUGUAGUUAGCGCCCUCUAGUGCAUUAUUUUUAAAUGACAAAACCAUAGUUAUCACACUACACGUUGUUAAAAGAAAUGUAAAUUUUAGUCCACCUCUCUGCACUUACAUGUUGUUUUCUAGCCAUGUGGUUGAUAAAUUAGGCUGUGACCUUGCACUAGUUCUUCAACUUUAGGCUUCAUUUUCCUCAUCUAUAAAAUGAGGAUGAUUUGAAACAGAUGUUUGGUUAAAAAUUUUAAAGAAAAAAAAAAAUGAGGAUGAUAAUUGUAAGUACCAGAUAGGGUUCCCCUGAGGACUAAAUGAGCUAAUACACAUAACAUGGAUACCUGGCACAUGGCAAGAACUCAAGAAAUGCUAUUUUUUACAUAUAAAUAAAUUCAGUCAAUACUGAACAUGAAGACAAAUAAUCAGUCUUUAACUCAGGUGUCAAUGUACUAGUUGAAACAUAAGAAUGUUAAAGUAACCAAAAAAUAAGGAAUAAAAGCCUAGGUAUGAUUCUAAUUUCUGGUCCCAUCUUAAUGAAUCAAUUCAUGCCAGUUCUGAAGUCUGGGAGCAUAUUAAAUUUCUUUGCAUCCUUCACUGUGCCUGUAAUUUGCACACUCAACAAAUAUUUGUCCUUGUCUUAUUUAAUGUUCAAGCUAAAUAGCUAUAUGGUAGAUCUUAGAAAACACAGAAGUGGAAGAAUGAUAGAUAAUAAUUAGUAUAAGAACUUAUACUGAUUAUUUAGUAUAAAACAAAGUUGGACUCAACUUUCUGUUCUUAAAGCCAGAGGCACCAAAUACCAUUUUUGGGAUUAGUGUAGUUUCUGAAUAGGCUGUGGACAGGAUUUGUGUUAUCAAUGCACAAGUGUAAAAGCAGCAUAAUUAUACUAUGUAUUUCAUAUGUUCACUAUGGAACCCAUGUGAACCCUUAUUGACAAAUCAAUAGAAGUAGUAGGUUCCAGAAUCCUGCCCUCAUCCAUUCUCGCCCAUUUUCAUAUUGCUUAGGCUAUCCAGCUAAAAGUUACUGCCUUUGACACAGUUGAAGAGAUACCAUCUCCAGAUAUUCUAGGUGUCAAUCCUUUUCCUGCACUAACAGACAUGGACUUUAGUGCUUAACACCACUACCUCUUGGGCUCCCCAAGAACCCAGUUGCUUGAGGAAAGCAUUGGGUGCUUCUGAUCCCCAAGUCCCUGGAGUCUUUGGUUGUUCCCACAUAUAAUAAAUGUCCUCAUACUUAUUUUUCCUAUGUGCCUUAUGUUAGAUAUAAUUGUUCUCUUCCUUCUUUUCUGUUGCCUCAGUGCCAAACCAGAUUCAUUUUCUCAUGAACAGCUACCAGUUACCUGUGUAUUGAGUCUGUGAAUGCUUGAACACUAUGCUAAGCAUUCAUUACUUCUAACUUUCACAACCAUAUCCAGUAAGGUAGAGCUGCAGUCCCCAACCUCUGGGCCAGUACCUGUCCGUGGCCUUUAGAAACUGGGCCACACAGCGGGAGGUGAGUGGUGAGUGAGCAAGCGAAGCUUUAUCUGUAUAGCUGUGCCCCAUCGCCCACAUUACCACCUGAGCUCCGCCUCCUGUCUGAUCAGUCACUGUCUCAUCAUCCCCAGAUGGGACUGUCUAGUUGCAGGAAAAUAAGCUCAGGGCUCCCACUGAUUCUGCAUUAUGAUGAGUUGUAUAAUUAUUUCAUUAUAUAUUACAAUGCAAUAGAAAUAAAGUGAAUAAUGUAACUUUCUGGAAUCCUGCUGAAACCAUCUCCUCUCUCCUCUACCCCCAUCCGUAGAAAAAUUGUCUUCCAUGAAACCAGUCCCUGGUGCCAAAAAGGUGAGGGACCACUGAGGUAGAGGGUAUUAUCCCCAUUUUCUAGAGAAAAUUGCACUGGUUCACACAGAUAAAUGGCAGAGCCAGAUUCUGCCUCUAAAGCCAAUGGCCUCCACCCUGCAUUACAUACUUUCCAAGAGGGGGAUUUUUGAGUUAUGCUGUCCUCAGAAAUGCCUGCAAGGAACAUCUUGACACUCCCUUCAGGCACUAAGCCAUCAGUUCUGAGGCUUGCUCCUUUUCAAGAAAGCCUACCUAUCCAGCCCUGCCAUAAUGAUAAUUAUUAGGACUGUGAUGGCUCACAUUUACUCUGCUUUCAAAGGUUGGCCAAUGGGGGAUUUCAUUUUCCCUUCCAGAAAACUUCACUGAGCCUCCAAGCUGGGGAAGCAAGCUCUCUUCUGGCAGAAGAUUGCAGCUGCUAUUAUUUAACCACCCUCCCCCACCCCCAGGGGAUAAACCACAAAUCCCAAGCCUUACAGCUGGGAACACAGAUCUGGCUGUGCAAGCACAUAAAAGAAACCUUGACAAAGAGGGAGAGGGGUUCACACACUGGCCAUUCUGGUUACAGUGCAUUGGGCAAUGAGCUCUCCCAUUGGAAGCUAUGUUGCAGAACCAAAGGCACUGUCUUGGCAGGCAAAACCACAUUCAAUCAGCCUGGGCCUUCCCUACCCAUAUGCUCAUUCACUUACACCAAGCCGUGGUCUCUUUUUUUUUCUUUCAUCCCACUUGUCCAUACAUACUUCUUCCUAUUAAUCUGUGGUCUCUUUUAAUUGCUUUUCCUCUCUUUAACUCUCCUUCCUUACCCUCCACCCCCAGCUUGAUCUUGUCCUUAAAAGCUUCCUCCUGGUUUACACCUUAACCUCUUUGUAGGAUCCCAGUGAAUGCCAGGGUUUGUGUGGGUAGAAGAUUAAAUUAAAUAAAUCAAAGCCACAGACACCCGACAUGGGGGAGGAGCCACCCAGAGGGUAGAAGGGCCACAACUUGAAAACAAAUGACCUUCUUUCAUCCCGGUGGUAUUUUCGUUUUUUUAAGGUCUGCUGGUCCGGCAAGGCACUUCAACAGAAGCUACGGUUUCUAGAGCUUUUGGAAAGAACAGUAGAGUUGUUUAUAUGUGUGUCCUGAAUUUCAGCAAAACUUGGGCCUGGAAAAGUCCUGUUAUUAUUUAUUUUUCUUUUAUUUUUUUUCUUUUUAAGAGUUUCAUUUUCUCAACCUUGAAGAAGUCCUGUUAUUUAAA
This is a non-coding RNA of Microcebus murinus (gray mouse lemur), 6129 nucleotides long. Lineage: Eukaryota; Metazoa; Chordata; Mammalia; Primates; Cheirogaleidae. The record is from RefSeq and is a predicted model, not a curated record.